This is a long non-coding RNA of Balaenoptera ricei (Rice's whale), 332 nucleotides long. RefSeq lists it as uncharacterized. Lineage: Eukaryota; Metazoa; Chordata; Mammalia; Artiodactyla; Balaenopteridae. The transcript has 3 exons. The record is from RefSeq and is a predicted model, not a curated record.
GGCUUUCAGCACAUAUUUGCUGGAUGAGUGAGUGGCUACGUGGAUGAAUAAAUGAAUAAAGAUGUAAGCCAGAGCCAAGCAAGGAAGAGUCUGCACCUGAAGGCUACACGGGCACCAGGAAAGCGUCCGCCCAGAGACUGCAGCAAGGAUGAGUCUACGUGGAGAUACUCAAGUAGAUCCAGGGAAGGAGUCCGGGAGGCUGUAAAAGCAAGAAGUCAAACAAGCCAUGGCUCUCAGCAGAGGAGGUUUUAAAGAAAUAUUUCAACCAAGACACAACUUCAAAAGAGAGUUUCUGAUGGCAAUAAGAGAACAUUCUUCUACACUUUCCUUUA